ACUGUUUACCAAAAACAUAGCCCUCGGCUAAUAUGAAAAUAGAUGUAUAGAGGGUGAUGCCUGCCCAAUGGUUGUAUCUAAAAGCGGUUGAUAAAAGUCGACCUCGUAAGGACAAUUGAAUGGCCGCGGUAACACUGACCGUGAUAAUGUAGCGUAAUCAAUAGCCAAUUAAUUGUUGGCCAGUAUGAAUGGCGCCACGAAGGCCCCACUGUCUUAAGGAAAUUCCCAGUGAAAUUGAAUUCGUAGUGAAGAUGCUACGUCCAAUUUGUUAGACGAAAAGACCCCGUUGAGCUUUACUGGAGCACUUAUAUGGCCCCGGCCUUCCCAUGCCUGGGAACCGGCCGAAUUUAAAUGGGCGGCUUAGAUUAUGUGGCAGCCCCCCGCUGGGGCAAAUGAAACACCACUCCCCCAUGUCAAAGGGGCUAACCCCCCCCUUGGGGGGGAC
RNAcentral lists this ribosomal RNA (445 nucleotides) under Zoanthus durbanensis. Its description in RNAcentral is "partial 16S ribosomal RNA". It matches the Rfam family "Bacterial large subunit ribosomal RNA", at positions 1799 to 2252 of the family's 2925-position model. Lineage: Eukaryota; Metazoa; Cnidaria; Anthozoa; Zoantharia; Zoanthidae. The record is from RNAcentral.